CCUACGGGGGGCAGCAGUGGGGGAUAUUGCACAAUGGGGGAAACCCUGAUGCAGCGACGCCGCGUGUGGGAAGACGGUCCUCUGGAUUGUACACCUCUUUUGUCGGGGAGCAAAAGACGCCACGCGUGGCGUUCCGAGAGUACCCGAAGAAAAAGCAUCGGCUAACUCCGUGCCAGCAGCCGCGGUAAUACGGAGGAUGCGAGCGUUAUCCGGAUUUAUUGGGUUUAAAGGGUGCGCAGGCGGAAGAUCAAGUCAGCGGUAAAAUUGAGAGGCUCAACCUCUUCGAGCCGUUGAAACUGGUGUUCUUGAGUGAGUGAGAAGUAUGCGGAAUGCGUGGUGUAGCGGUGAAAUGCAUAGAUAUCGCGCAGAACUCCGAUUGCGAAGGCAGCGUACCGGCGCCAGACUGACGCUGAGGCACGAAAGCGUGGGGAUCGAACAGGAUUAGAUACCCGGGUAGUC
RNAcentral lists this ribosomal RNA (459 nucleotides) under uncultured bacterium. Its description in RNAcentral is "partial 16S ribosomal RNA". It matches the Rfam family "Bacterial small subunit ribosomal RNA", at positions 338 to 795 of the family's 1533-position model. The record is from RNAcentral.